UCUUAAACCUCCACCCAUUCUUUCUCUUUCCUCCCUCUUUCUCUCUUCUCCUCAACCUCUGUAGGACUUCAUAGACAACUUUCUCUCUCCUCUCCUUAAAUUUCUAUCUACAUUUUCAAUUUCUCACUUUAUCUCUGACCUCCCUCUUUGUCUUUCCUCUAGUUACUUUCGGAUGAUUUUGAUAUUGUGUAGCUAAAUGAUAUGGGAUUAUUGAUUAUGUUUUCUUACUUUUGUGAUUUUGAUUUCAACUCUAGCCCCCUUCUCCGAAGGGCGAAACAAUCGGCAUACGAGCUUCGCUAAUUCUCCAUUUUUGAAUCUUCUCCAUAUCUUUGGAUUCAUAGUUUUCUCUUCCCCGUUUUGAAGUCUACCUCAUAAAGUGUUGGUUGUUUUUAUUUUCGAUCAAUUUGGGAUUCAAUUUCAUGUUGAAACCCUAAAUUGUUGCGUUUGGAGGUCACAAAUUUGAAUAUAAAAUUUAUGGGUUUAUUAUACUUUCGAUUUGCUUGUUUUAUUUGUUUUUGGACAGUGGUGGAAGAAAUGUAGGAUACUAAUUUGAUUGGCAUGGUCUAGAGAUUUUGUUUUGUUUAUGAGUUGUAUGCAUUACAACUUACAAAGUUAAACUACACAAAAGUGCAACUCGGCAGAAAGUAAAUGGGAGUACGUUUUACUUAUUCAUUAGCAUCAGAGUUAAUUGUAAUAAAUUAUUUUGCUCAUUUGCUAAAAUGAGUAAAUUAUUUUGCUCAUUUAUACAAAUUAGUAAAUUAUUUUGCUCAUUUAAACAAAUGAGUAAAUUUGUUUUGCGAAUAAUUUUAGCAGAGGUUAUUGUUAAUUCGAAAAUUUCCAUGACAAUAUAAACAACAUAACAUUUUUUGGAUUCGUGAUAUAAUAACCGUGUAAAUGAGCUGAAAUACAAAGCAACUGAGCAGACAUAUACGAAAUAAUUCAGAUGAGCAAAAAAAUAAAUUAAAAGAGCAAAUUUACAAAAAUAUCAGUUAAUUACCACCUCUUUCUCUCUCCUCCAUCUUUCACUUUCAAUGGGUACUUUCUCCCUCCUCUAUCUUUCACUUCAAAUGAGAAAACUAUGUGUUGAUAUCAAUUAAUUUCAUAGUUCAUGCUUGGCCAAUUCAGACUCGUCAUAUUGAAAAUUCUUGAAUUACUUUUUUUUAAUUGAAUUUUCAAGCUUUUGUCUAUGGCAGCUUUAAUCUAUACCUAGUAUUUUAAAAAGGAAACCAAACCUAUUGCCACGUGUCCAUCCUACUACUUCCUAAUUCAUGUCAUUUACUUAUUGCCACAUGUCCAUCCUACUACUUCCUAAUUCAUGCCAUUUAUUAAAAAAAAAAAAAAAAGGGAAGGGACGUGUCAUCCUAAUAAAAAAAAAAGAAAAAAAAAAGAAGGGCAAACAAAAUCACCAUAACCGCGCAAAAGGAAACCCCCAAACUUCCCCAUUGCCAUCUUCCCAUUUACUCCAUCUCAAGUCUCCAUUUAUCAUCCUUCAAUUCAUCAGUUACAAGAUAUUAAUCUCUCCAUUAAUUGUUUCUUGAUUCUUUAAUCUCAUCAAUGUCCUAUUUCAUCUUCAAUUGGAAUGUCACAAACUUCAAUUGAAUCUCCGCUUCAAUUCGUCCUCUUAAUACAACAUUAUUCUCAAAUUCCACCUUCAAUUUGAUCCACCAUCUUCUUUAAGAGCUUCUAUUUAUAAAUCAAUUCCUCCCAAUUCCAUUAAUAAUUUAGUAAAUUAUGUCGGUUACACUUCGUAAACACAAACGGCCACUGAUUUUUCUACUCUCAUCUCUAAAUCCAAUUCUUACCCUAUUUAACACAGUAGAUAUGACAACAGUAAUGCUAUGACCGUGCGCUACCCCGACACAGCUUUGUUUCAUUGCGUAAGAUUGAGGUUGAAUGUGUACCAAGACCAGAAUAGUGAAGCCAAAUCAAGUCUUUUGAAAAUGCGCUUCCUGUGUUGAGUUGUGCCAUGUUUUUUUUUUCCCAUUUAAUUAUAGUACAGAGUAUUUGAAAAAGUAUUCUUGAUUUUGAUAUCCGGGAAAGUUAUAAACAAUGAUCCAUCAAAGAUAAGCUAUGUUUUUUUUACUCAUGUUAAAUAGUUGGACUCCCUGUGAUAUUAUUUUGGGCGGUUCUGUCCUUUUUUUAUAUCAGGAAUUGGUUUUAAGUUUCUUUCUGGACACAGGUUCUUGAGUUAAUUGUGUACCCCAGUGUUCGGUAUUCAGUAAUUCCGACAGGCCUUUUUAAAG
Spinacia oleracea (spinach) is the source of this 2243-nucleotide long non-coding RNA. RefSeq lists it as uncharacterized. The transcript has 2 exons. The record is from RefSeq and is a predicted model, not a curated record. Lineage: Eukaryota; Viridiplantae; Streptophyta; Magnoliopsida; Caryophyllales; Amaranthaceae.